GAUGAACGCUAGCGGCAGGCUUAAUACAUGCAAGUCGAGGGGCAGCACGGUUAGCAAUAACUGGUGGCGACCGGCGCACGGGUGCGUAACACGUAUACAAUCUACCUUAAACAGGGGGAUAGUCUUUCGAAAGAGAGAUUAAUACCCGUAAUAAAUUGAACGGCAUCGUUUGAUUUUGAAAGCUCCGGCGGUUUGAGAUGAGUAUGCGUCUGAUUAGCUAGUUGGUGAGGUAACGGCUCACCAAGGCGACGAUCAGUAGGGGAUCUGAGAGGACUAACCCCCACACUGGUACUGAGACACGGACCAGACUCCUACGGGAGGCAGCAGUAAGGAAUAUUGGUCAAUGGAGGCAACUCUGAACCAGCCAUGCCGCGUGCAGGAUGACGGCCCUAUGGGUUGUAAACUGCUUUUAUACAAGAGAAAACCCUGGUACGUGUACCAGGUUGAUAGUAUUGUAAGAAUAAGCAUCGGCUAACUUCGUGCCAGCAGCCGCGGUAAU
Molecule: ribosomal RNA, 499 nt
Filed under: uncultured bacterium
Lineage: Bacteria
Description: bacterial SSU rRNA
Rfam family: Bacterial small subunit ribosomal RNA
Source: RNAcentral